GUUGAGUUGAGUUGAGUUGCUGAUAAUGAUAGCCACUUUUACACUAACCAGACUCGUCCAGAACUGUAGGUUUCUUAACAUGAAGAAGUUCCUUUAUUUUUUUCUGCACUUCUUCAUUUCCCAAUCCUGUGUUCAAAACAAUAACAUCUUGUCCCCUGGAGUUAUUUGUCAAAUUUGCAUGCAUGAACAUGAGAAACAGAGAUUAGAUAAGACUUUUGGGCUCUUUGGGUGGGGGGUUAUACUCAACUAAAAUAAUGUAAUUAGCCUUACACAGAGAUUGCCAAGAUAGGAAGCUCAUGUAAAGGAUUCCAUGCUACACACUGAACAGCUUCACUAACUCCCAGAUUUUAAGACAUCUACCAGUCUCAACCUCCCACACACGUGCAGUUCCAUCAGUUGAACCUGAAGCAAUCGACUGCCCUGAAGCUUCAGUAGAAUUUGACAUAACUGCACCUUUGUGACCUUUAUACUCAAGAUAGCAUUUCACUUGGUAGGGUUUAAGAUCUUUUCUACCUGGUAGCUAAGGUUUCAAGGAUUCAGGAUCAAUAUUAAUCUGAAAUAUCAAAGGAAGUAAUUUUGAUUAACUUUAUCAGAACAGAUGCAUAAUAGAUCAGUUCAAAGAUCUUGCAAGUUAUCUAAACCAAAUUUUUGGAGCAUCCAUAAACAUGGUCUCCAUUGGGGGUAACUAACUUACACGUUUCUUACGAACUCUAUGACACAAGUAUAGAUCCAAACAUCGCUCAAAAGAGUCCUUAACGGCAUUCUCAUAUGCUGGAAUACUUCUUAGAGAUGUGUACCAAAGUAUAGCAAAUUUUGUUAAAAUGCUUGAUAUUCAACAAUAAAAAAAAAUGGAAAGAAAUAUUAUUGGCCAAAGAUUUUGAGUCACUGUUUAGGUAUAAAUUUAGGUCGGUCUUCCUCAUCCAUCAGCUGAUAAGAAUUAAUCUCUUCCUGUGUUGGUAUGUAUUCUAGAGAAGGAUUAUAUGACUCCUCAUGGCCUGAAACAUAAUUCAGUUAAGAUACAUCAUCUGAGCAAACUAGUGAAAUUAGAAAACUUGGGAGAUGGGUAAAAUUGUGCCUGGCAAUUUUGGCUUUGGUGCAGGAAUGUAUGAUAAAUGUGCAGCCUUUUCUGCCGAGCCAGAAUCAUCCCCCCACAACAGGUGAAAACGUGGUUCUUCUUUUGGCUUGUCAAACUUUAAUAAACCUUUGCGAAUUGCCCUAACAUACUUAACAACCAUUUUAGCUUCCCACUUUGAGGGAGUAAACCGCCUCUUUGGUUCUGGAGCAUUUGAUAGUGGGUGCUUAGCGUCCCAUCUAAACCAGUCACUGUAUGUUGGAUAUGGAUCAAAGUCGAGAUGUGGCGCUUUUCCUUUGACCAAUCUACGAAUAACUUUGAUUUCUUCUUUUGUCAGCUCUACCACCUCAUCAUUGUAUUCAUCAUAAAUCUUGCGCCAAUUUUCAGAGUCAUCAGCACUUGCAAGAAAUGACUCCAGUUUAUCUUGCCUCUCUUUCUUUGUUAUCUUCUUUCCAGUAAUGUCAUAUCCAAUAUGUUUUUCAUCCUCAUACCACUUCAAGGGAACAUCUCCAAUUGUAUUUCGAGGUGCCACCUCGUCCUCGGAAGAAUCACUUUCUUCAGCCACUCUAUCAGAUUCUGAAUCAUUGCUUUGAUCUUCAUUAUCCAUGCCAUCAUCAUUGUCCGUGUCAAUAGAACCCUCAUCACCAGAAGAAUUGCUUUCUCCAGACUCUGACCCUCCAGAUGAUUCAUAAAACUCAUCCUCAUAAUCAGAAAGUUCCUGGUAGUCAGACUCAGAAUCAGAAGCUAUUUCUUCUUCCUCUUCUUCUUGAUGAUGUUCAGGUUCUUCACUGUUAUUAACCUUCUCUUUAUUGGAUUGACUUGAGAUAGUUUCUUCUUUGAUUAUGGUGUUCUUACUCUUCUGCUUCCCUAAAUUCCCUAAAUUCUUGUCCUUGCCCACCCCCAUUUUCUCUCUCUGUCAAAGAUAUUCUCUCUUCAGAUAUUCUCUCUCUCUAGUAGCAGAAGUUGGGAGAAAAGAGAAAGCGGCAACAAGGUGAAGGUUGUGUUUAGGGCUUCAAGGGUUUUAGGGGCGCCAAAGAUGAGAGUGGAAACAGAACAGCAGACAUGGGCUUUUUACGGCUUACACUUAGCCCCAAAUGAAAA
RNAcentral lists this unclassified non-coding RNA (2173 nucleotides) under Hevea brasiliensis (rubber tree). Lineage: Eukaryota; Viridiplantae; Streptophyta; Magnoliopsida; Malpighiales; Euphorbiaceae. The record is from RNAcentral.